GUCACAGUCUGACUGAGUAUGGGUGAGAGCACACAGGUUGGCUAGCCUGCCUUGGAGCUGGGCUGGUCGCCAUGUCUGGACUAGACACCGGCGCAGAGGAGGGUUCCUGCCAUGGAGCUGGACUGGAUGCCGUGCUUGGACUGGACAUCGGCGCAGAGGAAGGCUCCUGCCAUGGAGCAGGACUGGACGCCAUGCCUGGACUGGGCGCAGAGGAAGGCUCCAGCCUUGGAGCGGGACUAGACGCCGUGCCUGGACUGGGCGCCGGCGCAGAGGAAUGCUCCGGCCUUGGAGCGGGACUAGACGCCGUGCCUGGAUUGGGUGCCAGCGCAGAGGAAGGCUCCAGCUUUGGAGCGGGACUGGACAUCGGCGCAGAGGAAGGCUCCUGCCAUGGAACGGGACUGGACGCCGGACUCUUUGGACCGUCGCCGGAAGCUCCUUCAUUGUAGGCCUUCAUUGUAAAUAAGAAUUUGUUCUUAACUGACUUGCCUAGUUAAAUAAAAAUUAUUUAAAAAAAAUUGGGUAGUUCUUCCAUUCUUCUCUGCAGAUCCUUUCAAGCUAUGUCUGGUUGGAUGGGGAGCAAUUGCUGCACAGCUAUUUUCAAGUCUCUUCAGAGAUGUUUGAUCGGUUUCAAGUCUGGGCUCUGGCUGGGCCACUCAAGGACAUUCAGCCACUUGUCCCAAAGCCACUCUUGAGUUGCCUUGGCUGUGUGCUUAGGGUCGUUGUCCUGUUGGAAGGUGAACCUUCGCCCAAGUCUGAGGUCCUGAGCACUCUGGAGC
Molecule: long non-coding RNA, 776 nt
Organism: Oncorhynchus tshawytscha (Chinook salmon)
Lineage: Eukaryota; Metazoa; Chordata; Actinopteri; Salmoniformes; Salmonidae
Source: Ensembl